AAUGAAGUGGAUUGAUUUAUGGCGUAUUGCAACCACUCAAAAAAAUUGCUAAAAAGCCGGGG
Molecule: non-coding RNA, 62 nt
Organism: Candidatus Entotheonella sp.
Lineage: Bacteria; Pseudomonadati; Candidatus Tectimicrobiota; Candidatus Entotheonellia; Candidatus Entotheonellales; Candidatus Entotheonellaceae
Source: Rfam